GUCAUACCCGUAGGGUUGACGGGAGCUUGAAAAAGCUCUAACUUGACCAGGCUAAGUGCUUAGCGCACUCCGUUAUUCAGUUCAUGAAACCUACAAAUACGUGCCAGUUUGUAGCUCUUUCGUGCAGUUUUAAACAGGUGUAAUGAGUUAAACGAGUGAGCUGUGCCUAACAAGGCUGAAUAACAUUGUCGAGGCAAACUUAAC
Molecule: non-coding RNA, 204 nt
Organism: Phormidium ambiguum
Lineage: Bacteria; Bacillati; Cyanobacteriota; Cyanophyceae; Oscillatoriales; Oscillatoriaceae
Rfam family: HNH endonuclease-associated RNA and ORF (HEARO) RNA
Source: Rfam